ACAGUAACAGCAUAAGUAGUAGCUGAGGCUCUAAUCUGCUGGACAUUGGGCUGUUAGCCCCCAUCUCCAUCAGCCUUUGACUUCACUGCCACUAACCCAGGAAAAUUAACGUAAGCAUCUCUGCCUCUUUGGAACAAGGUUAUAUGGCCUGGAAAAUCUCAAAGGAGUAGAAGCAGAACUCCUCCCAGUGUCUGGCUGGGCUGUCUCCAGGUUUUCAGAGGAGGGGAAAACCACUCUACAUCGCUGUUGGAGAAUGAGGCAGUGAAAAAAAAGGUAAAAAGCAAAAAUAGCGUUCCGCGUUUGUUCCCUGGCGAGCUUCUACAGAGACAGUG
Molecule: long non-coding RNA, 332 nt
Filed under: Equus caballus (horse)
Lineage: Eukaryota; Metazoa; Chordata; Mammalia; Perissodactyla; Equidae
Description: lncRNA (ENSECAG00000052184.1)
Source: RNAcentral